CGGCACAUCCCCGACGGGGACGGCGACCACCUCCCAUUUUUCAUCCGCAGUCUCCGCCGCCUUCUCGCCAUUGGCUGGGAGGGUGGACCAUGUUUUCGUGGACUACUUCGACAACAAUCCCCAUCAAAUCUGUCGGGAACAGAAACGACCCCCUCCAAGCGCACCCAGAAGACUUUGUGAAGGAGCAGACUUUGUGAAGGAGCUGAAGACGUACUUCGCAGACGUCGGCGCCUUUGAGCUGCCAGAGGAAGAGGUCUCUGACUCUGAGCUGGAGCGAGAACUGAAUCUGAUCCCAGAAUAUAUGACUUUUCUUUUUUUUUCCUGUAUAGAAGUAGUUUACUAGAAUCACGCAGAUCCAUAGUAAGAGUGUGAUGGUAGUUGAAGCAAACGCUGCUGGCAGGAUGAUGGUUGCUGGCAUCAGAAUUCAGAACUGAUGUUCCUUCUUGUCUUUGUUUGCUUCGCUUCAGUUGCUUGGCAAUUUGGAACCAGGAAUGGUUCCUAUCCAGACAAAUACAUUUUGUAGGGGAUGGAAUGGUUCCUGGAUAGGAUUUGAAGCAGACCAGGAUCGAGUGAAGGAAGGGGAUUCACUCGAUCAUGGCCCUGAACCGUUCCUGGACGG
Panicum hallii is the source of this 619-nucleotide long non-coding RNA. RefSeq lists it as uncharacterized. Lineage: Eukaryota; Viridiplantae; Streptophyta; Magnoliopsida; Poales; Poaceae. The transcript has 3 exons. The record is from RefSeq and is a predicted model, not a curated record.